Molecule: transfer RNA, 72 nt
Filed under: Marmota marmota marmota (Alpine marmot)
Lineage: Eukaryota; Metazoa; Chordata; Mammalia; Rodentia; Sciuridae
Also listed under: 3 other names
Rfam family: tRNA
About the family: Transfer RNA (tRNA) molecules are approximately 80 nucleotides in length. Their secondary structure includes four short double-helical elements and three loops (D, anti-codon, and T loops).
Source: Rfam by way of RNAcentral
GGGGAUGAGGCUUAGUGGUAGAGAACUUGCCUAGCAUGUAUGAUACCCAGGGUUAGAUUCCCAGCAUCUCCA